This 560-nucleotide ribosomal RNA is filed under the name uncultured bacterium. RNAcentral's name for it is "partial 16S ribosomal RNA". It matches the Rfam family "Bacterial small subunit ribosomal RNA", at positions 355 to 905 of the family's 1533-position model. The record is from RNAcentral.
UGGGGAAUCUUCCGCAAUGGACGAAAGUCUGACGGAGCAACGCCGCGUGAGUGAAGAAGGUUUUCGGAUCGUAAAACUCUGUCUUUUGGGGCGAACGUGAGUAUGGUGAACAAUCAUAGUCAGUGACGGUACCAAAGGAGGAAGCCACGGCUAACUACGUGCCAGCAGCCGCGGUAAUACGUAGGUGGCAAGCGUUGUCCGGAAUUAUUGGGCGUAAAGAGCGCGUAGGCGGGAUAGUCAGUCUGUUGUAAAGUGCGGGGCUCAACCCCGUGAUCGCAAUGGAAACAGCUAUUCUUGAGUGCAGGAGAGGAAAGUGGAAUUCCCAGUGUAGCGGUGAAAUGCGUAGAUAUUGGGAGGAACACCAGUGGCGAAGGCGACUUUCUGGACUGUGUCUGACGCUGAGGCGCGAAAGCCAGGGGAGCGAACGGGAUUAGAUACCCCCGGUAGUCCUGGCCGUAAACGAUGGGUACUAGGUGUGGGAGGUAUCGACCCCUUCCGUGCCGGAGUUAACGCAAUAAGUACCCCGCCUGGGGAGUACGGUCGCAAGACUGAAACUCAAA